CUGUUGUCUAAAAAUUUCAGAACACAUGAAACACUGUCUCAGAUUUAAGAAACAAAAGAGGACAUUUCCAUUUCACAUAUUAAAAGCUACAGUUAUAGCUUAUAGUGGCCCAAAUCUACCUCACACAUAAAUACAGCAUGAUUUACAACCCUUUAAGAUACAUGUUGUCAUUAAA
Molecule: long non-coding RNA, 175 nt
Organism: Perognathus longimembris pacificus (Pacific pocket mouse)
Lineage: Eukaryota; Metazoa; Chordata; Mammalia; Rodentia; Heteromyidae
Exons: 3
Source: RefSeq, a predicted model, not a curated record